Molecule: long non-coding RNA, 7537 nt
Filed under: Gossypium barbadense (sea-island cotton)
Lineage: Eukaryota; Viridiplantae; Streptophyta; Magnoliopsida; Malvales; Malvaceae
Description: long non-coding RNA (GBAR_LNC008601)
Source: RNAcentral
GGUGCCUCCAACUGCGUUAGCCGCUCGUAACGAGGUUAUGUCCUCGGCCGCUGUAUCGAAAGUGGCUAAUGAUUCCAACGGUUUGGCUAAGGUUUUCGAGAAGGUAGGCCCUGGCUGCAAACCUAAAGGUUCGUUUUGCUUGUUUGACCUACAGAGUUGCUGUAGGCCUUGCGGAUGCCUUGCAGGGUGGUGCUAUAACAUUGAUCAUGAUUGCAAUGAGUACACAUAAUGGUCGCUACUGAGUUAAAAAAAGAAAACAGCUCUGAGUCUAAAACAUGGGAUUCGAUUAUAAAUGUUCUAUAUAUAACAUAUGUAUUUGAAUAAAGAAUCUCGUGUUAUGUCCCUGUUUGGUUGAGCUCUGCCUUUGUUGUAAGAGUUGAUGUUUUUCGUCUUCUCAUUGGUGUGUUGGUAUUGUGUGUACCCUUGUUAUUGGCAUAUGUAAUGAUAACUAAGUUCAUGAGUAUUUACCUAUUUUCUUUUAUGUAUAAUAAUUUGAUACUAAUUUUGAUUUUUAGAAAACAAACUUUUUUUUAUGCACUUUUAACAUGAUUUGGUAAAUUUUAAAACUUUUUUCAUAAAUAAAUUUAAUAAAUAAAUUUUCUAGUAUAUAAAAAAUAAUGAAUAACCUUUAUAAAAAUGGAUUGCAUGAAACUGUAAUCAUUAUACAUUUUUAAUAGGAGGAUGACAAAUCAGAUGUUACUCUUCAUUUUUAGUUUUUUCCUCCUAACAAAUUUAAAUCCAACUAAAAAAACUAAAAAUCAAGUGAAAAAAUCUGAUUUAUUAUUUUCUUAUUCGAAAAGCAUAAAAAUAAUAUAAAAUCACAGUUUUAUACAUUCAUUUUAUAACAUUUUCUGAAAAACAAUUUGAGCGUCUUACACAAUUUUAAAUAUAAAAUAUGUAUUUUAUAAAUUAAAAUUAAUUAUUCGAUUCGAUCCAGGGUUUAGUAGCCUACUAGAGUAGAUCCGAUUAGCAAAUCAACACUAGUUUAUACGUGCUUCCUUUUGAACCGCUUCGAAAUCAGCUCCAAAAAAGUGCUAGAAGCUCGAGCAACUUAAAAACCUCAAAAAAAAAAAAAUUAUAGAGCUGAAAAGCACAAAAAAUGCACCGUUGCAGAGGCAGGUGAGCUGAAAAACCAGCAGCUGAAAGGGACAAACCCGUCACGUGCAGCUCUCCAAUAGCAGGUCAUGGAGUUCAGUGAAGAAAAACCACAGCAAGCAUAAGCAGCACAAAACCAGACACAAACAGCUCAAAAAACAGAGUUGAAACAGUUGAUUAGACGCAAACCAGCUCGAAUCAGUAGCAUCGUUUUCUAUAUAAAGGGCCGCCUCGACCUACAAACCAUUCCACACACAAAACAUAAUCAUGGAGUGGUGCAAGAAGCUCGCUUUUCUGAUGGUUGCAAUGGCUCUGCUUCUUCAGGCCAUGGUGCCCCCGACAGCAUUAGCUGCUCGUAACAAUGUCAUGGAAUACAAUCCAUUGGCAAGCGUAUUCUCGAGGGAAGGCCCUGGCUGCAUCGCAAAAGGCGGGUUUUGCUUGUUUGACCUAACCAGUUGCUGUAGGCCUUGCGGAUGCCUUGCAGGGUGGUGCUAUAACAUUGAUCAUGAUUGCAAUGAGUACACAUAAUGGUCGCUACUAAGUUAAAAAAAAAAAAAAACAGCUCUGAGUCAAAAAAUGACACGGGAUUCGAUUAUAAAUGUUCUAUAUAUAACAUAUGUAUUUGAAUAAAGAAUAUCGUGUUAUGUCCCUGUUUAGUUGAGCUGUGCCAUUGCUGUAAGAGUUGGUGUUUUCCGUCUUCUCGUUGGUGUGUUGGUACUGUGUGUACCCUUGUUAGUGGCAUGUCUAAGAAUAAAUAUAUAUGUCAAUGAACUAAGUUUUAUCUGCCUUUUUUAUCUAAUUCAUGGACGGAUCACAUUUUAUAAAUUGAGCGAGGAGAUGUUAUUGUCGAGACUUGAAUCCUGGACUUUAAAUAUUAACACAUAGCUCUUAACUACUUGCUCAAUUACGGUAAAUAUCAUUAAUAAAUACUAAUAUCAACACGGAUUUUGCCAACCACCACAGUUGGGUUGGGUGAAAAUCAAUAUGGAUGGAACGGUUGGGCGAAUGACUGAUAUAGCGGCAGCAGCAGAAGUCAUCAGAGAUCAUAAUGUGAAGUGGCUGUGAGGCUGUUAUAGCAAUUUUGGUUCGUGUUCUGUGCUUCAUGCUGAGUUAUGGAGUGCUUGGAAGGGUUUCUUUCUGGCAUUGAAUUGCGGGUUUCGCAGGGUGGUUUUAGAAAUGGAUAAUGUAAAAAUAUUAUGUUCUCAGGAGAAUAAGGAAUACACCGGUUAGCCAUGGGAAGUGAAGAUACAGCAUGCUGUUGGUGAGGGUAAUUUUAUUCCAGAGGGUCUUGUAAACCUGCGGCUGAAUUCGAAUCCAGAAACAUAUGAACUUAUCAGUCCACUAGACGAGAUCUUGAGAGAAUUACAUGAUGAAGCAUGCCAAAUUGGGUAUGGCAGGGUGUCUUAGUUGUAACUUUGUAUAGCUUUUUAUUUUACUCAGAAAUUAAAAAAUAAUAUAAAUUCAAGUAACUAAAUAAUAUUGCUUAAAGUGGUAUGAACAAUGGAAUAUUGGGGAAUUAUUAUACUUCUUUUUUUUUUUGAAUUAUAUUUUAAAUUCAUAUAUGUUUGUGGCGUCAAUUGUUUAUAUAAAAAGGACUGAUGUAAUUAUGCUGUCACUUUCAUUAUUGAGAUUAUCAAUUUAGUUCGUUAGUUGACAUAUAUGAUUAUUAGUAACGUUAGCUUUUGAAAAAUAAUAUAAAGUUAGCAAGCUUUAUGUUAUCUUAUCAACUAUAAUAUAUAUAUAUCAUCUUGGUUUAGGGAUGCCAACAUGAUAGGGUGAGAUGGAUUUUUGCUUGUCCGACUCGAAUCUUGAUGAAUCCGUCUCGACCCCGAUUAUUAAAUAAUAAUAAAAAAGCCCCAAACUCAAAAUUUAAUAGGAGAUUCACUUUCGGUCCAACUUAAAUUUUAUUUAAUUGUUUUAUUUUUUUUAAAGAUUAAUUAUUUUAAGUUUAGACUUAAAAUUUAGUAUAUACAUAAUUACAUAUGAGUGACAUUUUUGUAAAUAUUUAAGAAUGGAUUGAGCGGAUUUACCUCAAACCCAAUCCCAACCUACUAUUUUUCUAAAUUCAUCCAAUUUAUUUUAAACUCGUUUUUUCAAAAAAGAUUCCUACCUUAAUAAAUCAAGUCGGAUCAAAACUGUAGGAUACGGAAAUUUUUUACAUCCCUAAUAAACCCAGUGACUUGUUUUAGUGCGGGGAUUUGUUUUGUGUACACACCUCAUCCAUCCCGAGUCUGCAAUCCGCAGGGGGAAUUUUAGAUCCUGUUACUAAUUAGGGCUUUAUCAGAAAAAUAAGGUCAUUGAAUCCUUAUUCUUAAACACUUGUUCAUUUCGUGCCAACCAAAUCGACGACACAACAGGUCAGCCACCAAUGCCUUGAGGUACCAAACACGUUUCACCAAGUUACACGAAAAUAAUACAUGAUUGGUCUCCUUGCCACACCAAUUACACAUACUUUGAUUGAGAUCAAAAUGUAUACCUCUCUUCAUUAAGAAUUCCUUAGUGGGGAUCCUAUUAAGCCGCACUAACCAUAAGAAACCUUUUUUAGGUGAACUUUCAGCUUAGCAUAGAUUUGAAUUUAUUGAAAUGCUUGGAGCAGAAGUCCAUUUAUUGUUGUUACAGUAUGCUUUUUUUUGUGCAAAGCUUGCUUUCGGAUUGCAAAGAAAAUCAAUUGGAUUUUGAUAGGAAGCUUUACCUUUAUUUUUGCAAUUCCACGUUUAUGGAUUUGAAUUUAAUGGUAAAAGUACUAGGAAUGUCCUUAUAUUUAUGGGUAGACUGCAUUUUAGCUCUUUUAUUGAAAAAAUAAGUAAAUUAGUCUUUAUACAUUUUGAAACAUGCAGAUUCAUUUAUCCAUUAAAUUUUAUCUAUUAAAUUAUUACGUGGAACGUUAAUUUAAAUGGUUGAUUUAAAUGGUUGAAUUUUAUCUAUUAAAUUAUGACGUGGAAUGUUAAUUUAAAUGGUUGAUUACUAAUUUAAUCUCUGAACUAUAGCUAAAAUAUCAAUUUUUUAAAAAAUUCUUAACAAUAAUUCUAAAAAAUUAAAAAUUCUUAAAAAUAAUAUAACUUAUUAAAAACUAUGUUAAAAUAUUUUAAAAAAUAAAAAUAUAAAUAAAAAAUUCUAGAAAAAAAACCUAUAUGUAAAUUUUUUAAAAAAAAAAUUAUCAAACUUUCGAGUCGAAACCUAGAAACCAUCAUAUUUUUUUACAAGACUUUCUUCCCCAUUGUAAAAAACCCAAAAAAUCAAAAAGAUUUCUCAUGCUUGAUUGAAGUCAUAAAUAAAUAAAUAAAAGGGUAAACUACACCCAUGGUCACUUUUGUUUACCUUAAGUUAUAUUUUAGUCACUUAUGUUUGAAAUGUUACAUUUUAGUCACUUAUGUUAUCGUGUUGUAACAUUUUAGUCACUGAGCUAUUAAUUGUCGCUAACAGUGUAACAGUAAGUUGACGUGACACGUUAAAUCAUAAUUUUAAACAAAAAUUUAGGGUAAAUUAUACAAUCGAUCAUCACAUUUUUUUUCGUUUUGAGCAAUUUAAUUUUUUUUAUGUUCUUUAAAUUUUUCAUUCUUUAUUUUCCAUUAUCUUAUGUUUCUCCCUCUAUUUUCUUUCCUUCUCCAUUUAUUUUAACAUAUCAAGAAGUCGAAUUGAUAGUGAAGAAAUAAAUAGGAAGUCGAAAACCAUCAUUGCCUAUAACCAAAACCAAUAAACCCAUACCAUGCUUUUUUCUUUACUGCCAAUUAUUCGACUUCCUAAUAUGUUGAAAGAAAUGGAGAAGGUAGGAAAAUAGAGGGAGAAGCAGAAGAGAAUGGAAAAUAAUGAAAAAAAAGUUAAAAGAACAUAAAAAAUUAAAUUGCUCAAAAUGAAAAAAUAUCGGCACCAAUUGUAUAAUUUAACCUAAUUUUUUAUUUGAAAUGAUGAUUUAAUGCGCCACAUUAGCUUACUGUUAUACCGUUAAUGAUAAUUAACGGCUCAGUGACUAAAAUGUUACAAUACGAUAACAUAAGUGACUGAAACAUAACAUUUCAAAUAUAAGUAACUAAAACGUAAGCUGAUGUAAACAAAAGCGACCAUGGGUAUAAUUUAACCUAAAUAAAAACUUGAUUGAACCCAAGAAAAAUUAACUAAAAGUUUUGACUACUCAUUUUCAAAUUUCUCAUACUUUCAUAAAUAUUCAUUUAAUCUUCAUCACCUAUCCUUCCAACUAAAAUGUAUAUAAAAAUUUAUUUAAUGUUUACUUUCUUCUACUUUAGUGAAUACGCAUUUUUGUAUCUCCUGUGUUUUCAUAUCUCCUAAUGAUGUGUAAUCAUGUUAUAAAAUUUCGAUUACUCAUUUUCACAUUCCCUUAGUUAUUACAAACUUUCCUAUUUGAAAAAUCUUAUUGUUUAAUACCCUAGAAGCUUUAAUCAUUAAUUUACUGGGUUUAAUAAUAUUUGGUUUUGAAUUUUUAAUAUAAAUGUGUGGGUUUUAUCUUUAAGUUUUAAUCUUGUUCGAAAAUUAGCAAAAAUAAAUACAUUAAAAGCAAAAAUUUAACUUGCUAUCACACCCCGAACCUAAACCUAGAAUUUAAUAGAAGACCCAACUCUGAACCGAUCCAACUCGACUAUUUUUCCAAUUUCACCCGAUGUGACCUACAAAACCGAUCAAGUUCACCAGGACGAAUACAAGGGGCAAGUAGUGCCCAAAAAAUAUAUAUAUAUAUAUAUAUAUAUAUAUCAUUUAGACCUUUAACAUUUAGGAAAUUCUAAAUUCAUAUAAUGAGAAAAUACAUUUUAACAUUUUAAUCUCAAAUAUUUAUGAUUCAUCUUUAUAUCGUUAAAGUAUCUUUCUGGGUUCACCCUUAUUUCUCCAACCAUUCAUACUGCUUAGUAACAACAUAUAAACGUAACAAAUUAUUUAUCUCUCCCGUCAGUACUACAUGCACAUAAGUGCAUUCACUAUUCCAUGCAAUAUCUCAUAUGUCACAUGCAUUACGAACCUGGACCAUCAUCUUUUCUAUAUAAAGGACCCUCCACCUAAUCAUGGAAUCCUUCAAGAAGAUCGUUUUUCUCAUCGUUGCUAUAUCUCUAGUUCUUCAAGCCACGGUGCCUCCAAACUGCGUUAGCCGCUCGUAACGAGGUUAUGUCCUCUGCUGCUGUAUCGAAAGUGGCUAACGAUUCCAACGGUUUGGCUAAGGUUUUCGAGAAGGUAGGCUCUGGCUGCAAACCUAAAGGUUCGUUUUUCUUGUUUGACCUAACCAGUUGUUGUAGGCCUUGCGGAUGCCUUGCAGGGAGGUGCGAUAUCAUUGAUCAUGAUUGCAAUGAGUACACAUAAUGGUCGUUACUGAGUCAAAAAAAAAAAAACAGCUCUGAGUCAAAAAAACGACAUGGGAUUCGAUUAUAAAUGUUCCAUAUAUAACAUAUGUAUUUGAAUAAAGAAUCUCGUGUUAUGUCCCUGUUUGGUUGUGUUGUGCCAUUGUUGUAAGAGUUGGUGUUUUCCGUCUUCUCAUUGGUGUGUUUGUAGCAUUUUUCUCAAAAACAAAUUAAGUGCCUUUCACAAUUUUAAAUAUAAAAUAUUUAUUUUAUUUAUAAAAAAUUAAAAUUAAUUAUUCGAUUCGAUUCUGUGUUUUAACUUGAAAGCCAAAACGAGUGAGUAGUAGCCUACUAGAGUAGAAUCAAAUUAGCAAAUCGACACAAGUUUAUACGUGGUUCCUUUUGAACCGCUUCGAAAUCAGCUCCAAAAAACUGCUAGAGUCUCGAGAAACUUAAAAACCUCAAAAAAGAAGAAAAAUUAUAGAGCUGAAAAGCACAAAAAAUGCACCGUUUCAGAGGCAGGUGAGCUGAAAAACCAGCAGCUGAAAGGGACAAACCCGUCACGUGCAGCUCUCCAAUAGCAGGUCAUGGAGUUCAGUUAAGAAAAACCACAGCAGGCAUAAGCAGCACAGAACCAGACCCAAACAGCUCAAAAAACAGAGUUGAAACAGUUGAUUAGACCCAAACCAGCUGGAAUCAGUAGCAUCGUUUUCUAUAUAAAGGGCCUCCUCCACCUACAAACCAUUCCACACACAAAACAUAAUCAUGGAGUGGUGCAAGAAGUUCGCUUUUCUGAUGGCUGCAUCGCAAAAGGCGGGUUUUGCUUGUUUGACCUAACCAGUUGCUGUAGGCCUUGCGGAUGCCUUGCAGGGUGAUGCUAUAACAUUGAUCAUGAUUGCAAUGAGUACACAGAAUGGUCGCUAGUGAGUUAAAAAAAAAACAGCUUUGAGUCAAAAAAUGACAUGGGAUUCGAUUAUGAAUGUUCUAUAUAUAACAUAUGUAUUUGAAUAAAGAAUCUCGUAUUAUGUCCCUGUUUAGUUGAGCUGUGCCAUUGUUGUAAGAGUUGGUGUUUUCCGUCUUCUCGUUGGUGUGUUGGUACUGUGUGUACCCUUGUUAUUGGCAUGUCUAAGAAUAAAUAUAUAUGUCAAUGAACUAAGUUUUAU